Molecule: ribosomal RNA, 561 nt
Filed under: uncultured bacterium
Lineage: Bacteria
Description: partial 16S ribosomal RNA
Rfam family: Bacterial small subunit ribosomal RNA
Source: RNAcentral
UGGGGAAUAUUGGACAAUGGGGGCAACCCUGAUCCAGCCAUGCCGCGUGAGUGAUGAAGGCCUUCGGGUUGUAAAGCUCUUUUGGCGGGGACGAUGAUGACGGUACCCGCAGAAUAAGCCCCGGCUAACUUCGUGCCAGCAGCCGCGGUAAGACGAAGGGGGCUAGCGUUGUUCGGAAUUACUGGGCGUAAAGCGAGUGUAGGCGGUUGCCGUAGUCAGGUGUGAAAGCCUUGAGCUCAACUCAAGAAAUGCACUUGAUACUGGGUGACUAGAGGACCGGAGAGGAUAGUGGAAUUCCCAGUGUAGUGGUGAAAUACGUAGAGAUUGGGAAGAACACCAGUGGCGAAGGCGGCUAUCUGGACGGUUACUGACGCUAAGACUCGAAAGCGUGGGGAGCAAACAGGAUUAGAUACCCUGGUAGUCCACGCCGUAAACGAUGGGUGCUAGACGUUGGCGAGCUUGCUCGUCAGUGUCGCAGCUAACGCGUUAAGCACCCCGCCUGGGGAGUACGGCCGCAAGGUUGAAACUCAAAAGGAAUUGACGGGGUCAUAGCUGUUUCCU